This 455-nucleotide long non-coding RNA is filed under the name Pan troglodytes (chimpanzee). Its description in RNAcentral is "long non-coding RNA NONPTRT007671". Lineage: Eukaryota; Metazoa; Chordata; Mammalia; Primates; Hominidae. The record is from RNAcentral.
AGAGUUGAAUACUGUCAUAUUCCCUGAAAUUUUUUCAUUUUGUUGAAACAAUUCUGAGGCACGCACCAUUAGAUAGAUUGAUUAUUAGCUCAACUGUUAGUCAUUUGGAUGCAUGACACCAUUGAGCUUAGCGGGAGUUGAGAUGGCCGAAAAUGACUCAGAAUGAAUUUGGAUGCAGCCAAUCACAAACCAGGUCUCAAGAGCAGCCACGCAUUCACCUUUGGGUCCACUUAGCAUUCUGCUCAUCAAGACACUUGUCUUUGGAAGAUUGAUGACUGGUUGAUAUAACUUCAAAUAAAAUAAGAUUUAUUGCUGGGUUCUGAUAAAUGCCUUCGAAAUGCACAGGGAAAACCACUAUUUUAUUUGUCUAUUUUCUCAUACUUAAACAAUAUAGUUAAAAAACAAAAGGCUGCUAUGACAGGAGGAGAAGGAAACAAACAGAGUCCGUUGAAACU